GAUAAUUAUUACACAAUAUUUAUUUUCAUAUUUUCCAUUUAUAGUCAUCUAUAGUCAUUUGUCAAAAUUGUUUUCUGAUUCUGCUUGCUUUUUUAUGAAUCAGUUAAUAUAUUUUCCUAUACUGUUCUGAGUUCUUCAUAUUAAUUGUUUCUUACAGCAGAAGGCUGCAAAAUUCACAACUAUUCCCUUAAAAUACUUGAUCCCAGGUCCUCUGAAUCUCUGAUUCUAUGCUAACCCCACAAAAUGCUAAUGCUAUUUUCUAAUGUAAAUAUGCCCUUCCUUUGUCCUCCUUGGGGUUUAGGUAUGUCUAGGUCAAAGGUGAUGAACAUUUUUGUCACUUUUUUAGAAUAAUGACAAACUGUUUUGCAGAGUGUUUGUACCAACUCACAGCCCCUUGAUGUUUCUAAUCUUUCCUCACUUCAGUCUAUCUUUCAUACUGAAUGACUCUAAUCACAUGCCUUCCCAAAUCAAAACCCCUGGGCCUCUAUAUUGCUUGCCAAAAUAAAGUUCAAAUUCUUCAUUCUGACAUCCAAGACCCCCCAUAACCUAGCUCUAACCUACUUUCUGACUCUUACUUUACUCUUUAUUCCAUGCCAACUUUCCUAUUUUCUAUUCUUUGAAUAUCUUUGAGGAGAGGGAAGCAGAGCUGUGAGUUCAUUGAUUUGGGUUUCAAAUCUCACCACUCUUCGUGAGAAAUCUCCCUCUCCAGUUCUUGCAGUUAAUACUUGGGAAGUUGUCUUGGAUGCAUCAAUUCAAUUCAACAAGUAUUCACCAAUUUGCUGAUAGGUGAGAGACAUCAUGCUAGGAUUUAGGCAUUAACUCUCAAAGAACUUGGGUACUAAUGGGGCAAAUGUCACAUACAUAAAAAAGUAUGAUGAUAAGGCAAAAGAAAAAUAUAUGGAGACAGAGAAAGUCAGAGAGACAAGGAAAGAGAGUUAGUGAGGAAGAGAGUGCAUUAGGCAGAGUUGCCAGGAGUAACAGCAGUGUUUGGCACACAGUAAGCAUAGGAAGGAAGGAAGGAAGGAAGGAAGGAAGGAAGGAAGGAAGGAAGGAAGGAAGGAAGGAAGGAAGGAAGGAAGGAAGGAAGGAAGGAAGGAAGGAAGGAAGGAAGGAAGGAAGGAAGGAAGGAAGGAAGGAAGGAAGGAAGGAAGGAAGGAAGGAAGGAAGGAAGGAAGGAAGGAAGGAAGGGAGGAAGGAAGGAAGGAAGGAAGGAAGGAAGGAAGGAGGGAAGGGAAGGAGGGAAGGAGGGAGGAAGGGAAGGAGGGAGUAGAGGGGAUAGAUAGAGAGACAGAGGAGAGAGACAGGGAAAGAUAGAGGCAGACAGAGACAAAACAGAGAGAGUGGGAGAGAGUCAGAGAAAGAAAAAUAGAGAGAGUGGGAGAGAGACAAAGAGAAAGAAAGAUAGAAACAGAAAGAAAAAGAGAAAAAGUGAGACACAUAUGGAUGGAAGAAGGGAGGAAGGGAGGGGCAAAGGAGAGAGAGAGAGAGAGAGAGAGAGAGAGAGAGAGAGAGAGAGAGAGAGAGAGAGAGAGAGAAAGAGAGAAACUGAGAGACUGAUUGACUCAUUCUAUGGACUCCACUUCUAAAAUGAGAUGAUUUUGACAGAAAAAUAAUACAAGAAUUCACUGAACAGUUUUUUUAACCAAACUUGUGAUUUCAUCAGUAUAAGAAAUUCCCUCUUCCAAUGCAAAUCAACACCUGCUCUGCAAUUUAUAGACUUAUAGAUUUGCCUCAGAGGUUACAUGGCUUGCUCAGUCACUCAGCCAGUAUGUGUCAGAAACAGGAUACAGACCCAGAAUUUCCAUAUUCUGAGACUAUCUCUAUUGAUAUAUUCACAUAUCUUGUGCAUGUAUGCAUAUGUAUAUACAUACACAUAUGUUGACAAUUUUUUAAAUGAUUUAACUUUGAAAAAUUACAGGGAUCCACUAAAAUUAAAAAAAAUUUUUUGACUUAAUGUAACAUUUCAUUGGCAUGGCAUACAUUCAUCAAAAACUCUUCAUGAUCCCAUUUGGGAUUUUCUUGGUAAAGAUACUGGCAUAGUUUAUUAUCUCCUUCGCUAGCUCAUUUUAUAAAUGAGGAAACUGAGGUAGAGUUAAGUGACUCACCCAGGAUCAUACAGCUAGUAAAUAUCUGAGACAGGAUUUGACCUCAGGUCUUCCUAACUCCAGUCCUGAUGCUCUAUUCCCCCAGAAGCCCGCUUCAUUGGUGUAGUGAAUCCCUAAUAAAAAUCAUUAUUUGGUCA
RNAcentral lists this long non-coding RNA (2242 nucleotides) under Monodelphis domestica (gray short-tailed opossum). Its description in RNAcentral is "lncRNA (ENSMODG00000047485.1)". Lineage: Eukaryota; Metazoa; Chordata; Mammalia; Didelphimorphia; Didelphidae. The record is from RNAcentral.